RNAcentral lists this ribosomal RNA (154 nucleotides) under Coniolariella hispanica. RNAcentral describes it as "5.8S ribosomal RNA". It matches the Rfam family "5.8S ribosomal RNA". Rfam says of the family: 5.8S ribosomal RNA (5.8S rRNA) is a component of the large subunit of the eukaryotic ribosome. It is transcribed by RNA polymerase I as part of the 45S precursor that also contains 18S and 28S rRNA. Functionally, it is thought that 5.8S rRNA may be involved in ribosome translocation. Lineage: Eukaryota; Fungi; Ascomycota; Sordariomycetes; Xylariales; Xylariaceae. The record is from RNAcentral.
ACUUUCAACAACGGAUCUCUUGGUUCUGGCAUCGAUGAAGAACGCAGCGAAAUGCGAUACGUAGUGUGAAUUGCAGAAUUCAGUGAAUCAUCGAAUCUUUGAACGCACAUUGCGCCCGCUAGUAUUCUGGCGGGCAUGCCUGUUCGAGCGUCAU